GCCCUCGCUAAAUAAAUUAUUUAAUUAGAUGUUAGACUUAAGUAAUCGAAUUUGAGGCAAGAACCGCCUUUAUACUUAAAAAUGUUUUACUAAAAUCAUACUGCUAUUGGUAUAAAGACAAUGUUCACUACUGUAUAUGUGUGUGUGUAUAUAGAUAGAUAUAAAUUACACACACGUCAACAUGGUUCCCAAUAAUUUAUUUAAAACAUAACACAGGAACCCCCUAAAUUCUUAUUGACCUCAUUUCAAUAUACUGUUUACAGUUUGACAGAAUUGUAUAAUUUAAUAUUUCUCUUGUACUGUAGUUUAUAUUUAUUUACAGAUUUUUGUACUGUGUGAUUUGAUUUUUUUUUUUUGUUCUUGCUAUGAUCAAUGUCUUAUGUAGUAGAGCACUUAUGAUCACAUUUUUUUUGUUUCGAUUGCACUACAUAAUUUUUUUUGUUUUUAAUGGAGUUCUGAUUUUGACUGGACUAAAUAAAAUGUCUUAAUGUAUGUGAUAAAUACUUAAAUUUUGAAAAUCCAUGUGGUUCAUUUAAUUUUUAAAUUUAUUUUUUUUGGCAUUGUAUGUUGAAAGCGCUGAUUCUGUCGUUGUGCAUGUGUUAAAAAAAAAAUAAUUAAUGGUUCCAUUGUAUUAUUUGCCCAUGUCAUUUAAAAGACAACAAAAAAAAAAUACAUUCCCAGCUGUAAUGUUGUGUGUGGUAGUUCUCACUGGAUGCUAGACUUUUCAAAACCACUAUUCUUCUAAUAAAUUUGUUGUGAAAAUUUU
Long non-coding RNA from Spea bombifrons (plains spadefoot toad), 766 nucleotides. RefSeq lists it as uncharacterized. The transcript has 2 exons. The record is from RefSeq and is a predicted model, not a curated record. Lineage: Eukaryota; Metazoa; Chordata; Amphibia; Anura; Pelobatidae.